ACUUAGCUGUCGAGUCUCAAAUAAGACGAAACGCUUCUUGUCCUGGAU
This 48-nucleotide non-coding RNA is filed under the name Schistosoma mansoni. The record is from RNAcentral. Lineage: Eukaryota; Metazoa; Platyhelminthes; Trematoda; Strigeidida; Schistosomatidae.